UACGAGGGGGGCAAGCGUUGUUCGGAUUUAUUGGGCGUAAAGGGUGCGUAGGCGGUGCGGCAAGUCGGGAGUGAAAUCUCUGGGCUUAACCCAGAGGCUGCUUCCGAAACUGCUGUGCUUGAGUGUGGGAGAGGCGCGUGGAAUUGCAGGUGUAGCGGUGAAAUGCGUAGAUAUCUGCAGGAACACCCGUGGCGAAAGCGGCGCGCUGGACCACUACUGACGCUGAGGAACGAAAGCUAGGGGAGCAAACAGG
Molecule: ribosomal RNA, 253 nt
Filed under: uncultured bacterium
Lineage: Bacteria
Description: partial 16S ribosomal RNA
Rfam family: Bacterial small subunit ribosomal RNA
Source: RNAcentral